RNAcentral lists this ribosomal RNA (253 nucleotides) under uncultured bacterium. Its description in RNAcentral is "partial 16S ribosomal RNA". It matches the Rfam family "Bacterial small subunit ribosomal RNA", at positions 524 to 776 of the family's 1533-position model. The record is from RNAcentral.
UACGUAGGGGGCUAGCGUUGUCCGGAUUUAUUGGGCGUAAAGAGCGUGUAGGCGGUUUGGUAGGUCCGCUGUGAAAACUCGAGGCUCAACCUCGAGACGCCGGUGGAAACCAUCAGGCUAGAGUCCGGAAGAGGAGAGUGGAAUUCCUGGUGUAGCGAUGAAAUGCGCAGAUAUCAGGAAGAACACCCGUGGCUAAGGCGGCUCUCUAGUACGGUACUGACGCUGAGACGCGAAAGCGUGGGGAGCGAACAGG